CCAACGUGGGUACACCCGGGAGGUCACUCUCCCCGGGCUCUGUCCAAGUGGCGUAGGGGAGCAUAGGGCUCUGCCCCAUGAUGUACAGUCCCUUUCCACAACGUUGGAGAUGAAGCUGGGCCUCGAGUCUGCGCCUGCAUAUUCCUACAGCUUCCCAGAGUCCUGUGGACAAUGACUGGGGAGACAAACCAUGCAGGAAACAGCC
Callithrix jacchus (white-tufted-ear marmoset) is the source of this 205-nucleotide small nucleolar RNA. Its record names the gene SNORA73. It matches the Rfam family "Small nucleolar RNA SNORA73 family". Rfam says of the family: U17 (SNORA73A and SNORA73B) also known as E1 belongs to the H/ACA class of small nucleolar RNAs (snoRNAs). Lineage: Eukaryota; Metazoa; Chordata; Mammalia; Primates; Cebidae. The record is from Ensembl.